RNAcentral lists this ribosomal RNA (864 nucleotides) under Pseudomonas koreensis. RNAcentral's name for it is "bacterial SSU rRNA". It matches the Rfam family "Bacterial small subunit ribosomal RNA", at positions 37 to 873 of the family's 1533-position model. The record is from RNAcentral. Lineage: Bacteria; Pseudomonadati; Pseudomonadota; Gammaproteobacteria; Pseudomonadales; Pseudomonadaceae.
GGGGGGCAAGGCUAAACAAAUCAAAAUUGAGGGGGAAGAAGAGAAGCUUGUUUUUUGAUUUAAGCGGGGGGAAGGGUGAAGUAAAGCCUAGAAAUUCUCCCUGGGUAGUGGGGGACAACGGUUCGAAAAAGAACGCUAAUACCGCAUACGUCCUACGGGAGAAAAGCAGGGGACCUUCGGGCCUUGCGCUAUCAGAUGAGCCUAGGUCGGAUUAGCUAGUUGGUGAGGUAAUGGCUCACCAAGGCGACGAUCCGUAACUGGUCUGAGAGGAUGAUCAGUCACACUGGAACUGAGACACGGUCCAGACUCCUACGGGAGGCAGCAGUGGGGAAUAUUGGACAAUGGGCGAAAGCCUGAUCCAGCCAUGCCGCGUGUGUGAAGAAGGUCUUCGGAUUGUAAAGCACUUUAAGUUGGGAGGAAGGGUUGUAGAUUAAUACUCUGCAAUUUUGACGUUACCGACAGAAUAAGCACCGGCUAACUCUGUGCCAGCAGCCGCGGUAAUACAGAGGGUGCAAGCGUUAAUCGGAAUUACUGGGCGUAAAGCGCGCGUAGGUGGUUUGUUAAGUUGGAUGUGAAAGCCCCGGGCUCAACCUGGGAACUGCAUUCAAAACUGACAAGCUAGAGUAUGGUAGAGGGUGGUGGAAUUUCCUGUGUAGCGGUGAAAUGCGUAGAUAUAGGAAGGAACACCAGUGGCGAAGGCGACCACCUGGACUGAUACUGACACUGAGGUGCGAAAGCGUGGGGAGCUUUCUAAGUUAGAUACCCUGGUAGUCCACGCCGUAAACGAUGUCAUUAUAGCCGUUGGGAGCCUCGAGCUAUUAGUGGCGCAGGUAACGCAAUUAAUUGAGAAGCAAAGGGAACGGG